CUCUGGCGGGGAGAGGAGGGAAAUACUGUGGGGGUUGGGGAACGAGAUCUGGGCUAGUCCUUGUCUCUGCCAUUACAGCCACCUUGCCUGCCUCCCUCACUGCAGCAGCAUCUGCGGCUCAGGCUCUCCCUCCCCUGCAGUCCAAACAGGCAGCCGGUGUCCCUGCCUCCGCUACAUCCACCAUGCUGGAUAUUUUCAUCUUAAUGUUUUUUGCCAUCAUCGGCCUGGUGAUCCUCUCCUACAUCAUCUACCUGCUCUAGGAGCCCCAACAGCAGUGCAGGGGAAGGAUGAAAGACAGCAGCCAGCCAUCCUGCCAAUCAAAGCCUCGUCCAGCUUUCAGGCCUGGGUCAGACAAGUGUCACCUUAUCCUCAGCAGCGGCAGCAGCAAUGCCAGAGCCAUCAGGAGAAAGAGUUAACUCUUUGCAAGCAAGCCGCUUCCCGAGCAGCUGGCGAGAGGAAAACCAGCCAUUGGACAGUGCAGAUGUCAAGGCUUAUAAACGCCCUUGACAGAAUGUCUGAGCUGUAAUGCAUUUGAAGAGCAAAUACAAAGCAACCUGGCCUCAAGAAUGGACAGAGAGAGAGAGAGGGAGCGAUAAUGAAACCUCACUAUGGAGAAGUGUGUUGUUUUGUUUGCCAUGCUGGUAUUAAGGAAAUGUAACUGUUCAUUGUUCUGUGGCCACAUAGAUAUCCCCCCUCCUUGGGAAAAGUACCUGCUGUUUUUUAGUUUUAGAAAGUAUAUAUAUAUUUUAAUUAAAAAAAAAAAAAAAGCUAAGAAAACAACACAAAAUGAGAGCAAAAUCUGAAUAUCACAAUAGUAUCUUAUUCAGACACAUCACCUUUCAUUUUCACUGAUCACCCACUGCUUAUCACUGGGUAUUGCUAAAAUGCAGCUACUUCUGGGGUGGAGGGUGGCAACUAGCUAGAACACUUCGGGAAUGGGAGCACGAAUUUUGGACAAGGACUAUAAAGGAAAAUCCCUAUGCAUAAGAAAGAUGCAAGGGACCUUUUGGACCAAUUCAUCAAGACAGAUGGUGCUGAGCCUGUGUUUGAAAAAUGCUUUUAAACACAUUUCUGCCACUAAUCUGAGUGCGCAGUUUAUAUGGAGGGGGUAACAACCAGAACACAGAUUAGCCUCAGAAAUGCUAGUUAGCCAGCAACUCAUACUCCAAGCCUGUUCGGGGAGAUGUGAAUGAUCAUAGAAUAUCAGGGUUGGAAGGGACCUCAGAAGAUCAUCUAGUCCAACCCCCUGCUCAAAGCAGGACCAAUCCCCAUGAUACCAUGGGCCCAUCUGUUUUGAGGGUGGGGGGGCCCCCAUAGCUCCAAAUAAAGCCACUGGUGGGGGGUUUCUAAACCCCCUCUCAAUGCAAGCUGUGUGUCCAAACCGCCUACUGCACCCAGCCAGGAGUUAGAUCAAUAGAUCAAUGGGAGGUCAGAGCUUAAUUUACAACUUCUUGGAGAGGUUUGAGUGAGAGGCUCUGGGGCCUUUUGGGAAAUUUCCCUGUAGGCCAACAUGAUCCUGAAUCAAGCCACUGCCUCUGUGUAUUAUUUCCAGUCUGCAGGACCAGGAGGGGUCUGGAGUGGGGAAUGGGUGGGAAAGAGAAAAGAGGCCAAAACACCAGGGACAAGAUUUUAAAAAGCGGCCACUCUUGGUGCCCAUCUUGGACCAUCUGGACAGUCCAUAUUCGUGGCCACUUCCACAAAGCUUGGCCCAUUCCCAGUGCUUGAAUUAUAAGAAAAAAUGCCCAUAGGCCCUUUCCUUUUGUUGACUCAGUAGCAGUGAGCAGUGCAGGCAUACCAUAUCCACCUGAGCACUGGCCUGACCCCUGCAGUCACGUUUAAUUCUUCCUCACCCUCCAGACUGCUAGUCCACACACUGGAUUAUAACAGACACUUUUUGUUUUGGACAAAUGCAAACAGUUUUCUGGAGUUAAAAAUGGAAUGCAAACCAACAACAUGAAAGACUUAGUCAUCCACUACUGUGUAAUAAGCAUCACAUGUAAGGUUUAUUUCAGAUUGUAUUGUAUAAUGAAAACAACCCUCCUAGAAGGUAAGAUUUUUCUAUGGCUGGUCUCCCACUGCAGUUAAUUCUUGCUGGGAAGCAAUACACUCCUGGAAAUAGAAGUUUUGUAAUGGAAAAAAGCUUGAUGCAUCCUUAACUCACGUGACACCAUUAUAAUUAGGAGGAAAUUUACUCUGAAUUGUAGUGUUUGUGGCUUAUAUAAGCACUUUUGGGGUACAAGUGGCAAGAAUUACUUGAUAUCUGUUGAUAAGACUUUCUACAAAAAAAUGUUAACCAUAAUUCCCAUCUUUAUGUAAUCAUUGCCAGCUGAGUACUUGACAUAGUACAAUUUCCUGUCAGUACAAAGUUUCCCGAGGGAGAAGUACAGUGCGUAUAUCUUUGCCUUUGGAUCCAAAUUGAUGUUCUCCAGUGCAUCUGUUUCAGUCCAAACUGCAUUACACAGCAUGCCACUGCCAGGACCCAAUUGUGAGUCACAGUCAGGGCUUUAAAAAGGGUGAGACACCCAAAAUGAGGAACCUAACCCUUCUCUCCUCCCCCACAAAGCAGUUAAAAUGGAAACUCUAAAUGUUAUGGGAAGCAACUCUUGAAUAUAAAUAAAAUGUUCAAUAACCUCA
Molecule: long non-coding RNA, 2634 nt
Organism: Malaclemys terrapin pileata
Lineage: Eukaryota; Metazoa; Chordata; Testudines; Emydidae
Exons: 2
Source: RefSeq, a predicted model, not a curated record